Molecule: ribosomal RNA, 433 nt
Filed under: uncultured bacterium
Lineage: Bacteria
Description: partial 16S ribosomal RNA
Rfam family: Bacterial small subunit ribosomal RNA
Source: RNAcentral
AACGAACGCUGGCGGCAUGCCUAACACAUGCAAGUCGAACGAGACCUUCGGGUCUAGUGGCGCACGGGUGCGUAACGCGUGGGAACCUGCCCUUAGGUUCGGACUAACUCCCCGAAAGGGGUGCUAAUACCGGAUAAUGUCUUCGGACCAAAGGUUUGUCGCCUUUGGAUGGGCCCGCGUUGGAUUAGCUAGUUGGUAGGGUAAAAGCCUACCAAGGCUACGAUCCAUAGCUGGUCUGAGAGGAUGAGCAGACACACUGGGACUGAGACACGGCCCAGAAUCCUACGGGAGGCAGCAGUGGGGAAUAUUGGAAAAUGGGCGAAAGGAUGAACCAGCAAUGCUGGGUGAGUGAUGAAGGACGUAGGGUUGUAAAGCUCUUUUACCCGGGAUGAUAAUGACAGUACCGGGAGAAUAAGCUCCGGCUAACUCCGUG